UACGUAGGGUGCAAGCGUUGUCCGGAAUUAUUGGGCGUAAAGAGCUCGUAGGCGGUUUGUCGCGUCUGCUGUGAAAACUCAGGGCUUAACCCUGAGCCUGCAGUGGGUACGGGCAGACUAGAGUGUGGUAGGGGAGAUCGGAAUUCCUGGUGUAGCGGUGGAAUGCGCAGAUAUCAGGAGGAACACCGGUGGCGAAGGCGGAUCUCUGGGCCAUAACUGACGCUGAGGAGCGAAAGCUAGGGGAGCGAACAGG
Molecule: ribosomal RNA, 253 nt
Filed under: uncultured bacterium
Lineage: Bacteria
Description: partial 16S ribosomal RNA
Rfam family: Bacterial small subunit ribosomal RNA
Source: RNAcentral